AGCCACCGCGGUAAUUCCAGCUCCAAUAGCGUAUAUUAAAGUUGUUGCAGUUAAAAAGCUCGUAGUUGAAUUUCGGGGUUAGUAGGUUGGUCAUGCCUCUGGUAUGUACUGGUCUCACUGAUUCCUCCUUCCUGAUGAGCCGUAAUGCCAUUAAUUUGGUGUUGCAGGGAAUCAGGACUGUUACUUUGAAAAAAUUAGAGUGUUUAAAGCAAGCUAACGCUUGAAUACAUUAGCAUGGAAUAAUGAAAUAGGACGUUCGACCUAUUUUGUUGGUUUCUAGGAUUGACGUAAUGAUUAAUAGGGAUAGUUGGGGGCAUUAGUAUUCAAUUGUCAGAGGUGAAAUUCUUGGAUUUAUUGAAGACUAACUACUGCGAAAGCAUUUGCCAAGGAUGUUUUCAUUAAUCAAGAACGAAAGUUAGGGGAUCGAAGACGAUCAGAUACCGUACGUAGUCUUAACCAUAAACUAUGCCGACUAGGGAUCGGAUGAUGUUAAUUUUUUAAUGACUCA
This 508-nucleotide ribosomal RNA is filed under the name Glomus sp. Glo8. RNAcentral describes it as "SSU rRNA". It matches the Rfam family "Eukaryotic small subunit ribosomal RNA", at positions 569 to 1078 of the family's 1831-position model. The record is from RNAcentral. Lineage: Eukaryota; Fungi; Glomeromycota; Glomeromycetes; Glomerales; Glomeraceae.